AUUGAACGCUGGCGGCAGGCCUAACACAUGCAAGUCGAACGGUAACAGGAAGCAGCUUGCUGCUUUGCUGACGAGUGGCGGACGGGUGAGUAAUGUCUGGGAAACUGCCUGAUGGAGGGGGAUAACUACUGGAAACGGUAGCUAAUACCGCAUAACGUCGCAAGACCAAAGAGGGGGACCUUCGGGCCUCUUGCCAUCGGAUGUGCCCAGAUGGGAUUAGCUAGUAGGUGGGGUAACGGCUCACCUAGGCGACGAUCCCUAGCUGGUCUGAGAGGAUGACCAGCCACACUGGAACUGAGACACGGUCCAGACUCCUACGGGAGGCAGCAGUGGGGAAUAUUGCACAAUGGGCGCAAGCCUGAUGCAGCCAUGCCGCGUGUAUGAAGAAGGCCUUCGGGUUGUAAAGUACUUUCAGCGGGGAGGAAGGGAGUAAAGUUAAUACCUUUGCUCAUUGACGUACCCGCAGA
RNAcentral lists this ribosomal RNA (467 nucleotides) under Escherichia coli. RNAcentral describes it as "bacterial SSU rRNA". It matches the Rfam family "Bacterial small subunit ribosomal RNA", at positions 30 to 485 of the family's 1533-position model. Lineage: Bacteria; Pseudomonadati; Pseudomonadota; Gammaproteobacteria; Enterobacterales; Enterobacteriaceae. The record is from RNAcentral.